AAGUAUAGCUCCUUUUGCUUUUAUAUUCAUUAGAAUAGUGCUUUAAUAAUUAUAAGCUGCAUUGGCUACAUCUUCUAUGGGAAUGUAAUCGUGUUUAAGAACAAACUAGUUUUUGCUUUUAGUGCAAUAAGUAGUUUUAAAGGAAAGUGUGUCUGUGGUCUUCCGCACAGACAACAGGAGGAACAGACAGACACCUGUCAUUUAAAAGGGGGCAAAGUAAUACAGCCUUAACUUCAGAAGGAGUGCUUCACAAUGUUCAGUUUUAGAGCAUGUCCUUACACAACCACAGUCAAGGAAGUAAAGCCAACGAGACAAGCCUCACUAGAGGUCAGGAACACAGCAGCACUUCUGUUUUAAAAAUGGCAGUGAUAGCCGGACAGUGGUGGCUCAUACCUUUAAUCCCAGCACUUGGGAGGCAGAGGCAGGCAGAUCUCUGAGUUCAAGGCCAACCUGAUCUACAGAACAAGUUCCAGGACAGCCAGAGCUAUACAGAGAAAGCCUGUCUCAAAAAAAAAAAGAAGAAAGAAUAAGAAAAGAAAAGACAGCGAACAGCUUAAGAUUUGAAGAUUUUUAAUUAUUUGAAAAUUGAUCUUGCUUGUUGAAGAAUUGUGCUUCUUUGACCAAAAGAAUCAAGAAAAUACUGGAUGGUUUUUUUUUUUUUCUCUAUCUUUUUACCAGUGUACUUUCUCUUUAAAAAUAAGAAGACAAUGACAAAGAAAUUCAGGGCUUUGAUCAUUUAAAGUUAGUUAAAUUUCUGAAAUAUGGAGGAGAAAUCUUUUAAAAAAUUUACUUUUCUCCUCUUCUUUAGUCAAUGACUUUAGUUGAUAACUUUAAGCUGUCAAAGCUGAGUUUCUCAGUAGCGUCAGAGUCAGGGAACUUUGUGCUUUGUAAGUCAUGAAAGUUGCAUUGAGUUUCCUCUGUUCUUGUUUCCUGUUCUGGUUCCGAGGACAGACACUACAGAUGUUUGCAGUGUCGCCAUCAGCCUUCAAACCCCCAUCUGCACCUGACAAGCAAUGACUUUAGAGCCUCCUUUGUUCUCUUACUUUUAAUUCACUGUUAUUGCCAGUUUACUGUACUUUGAGCCUAAAAUCUGAGCCCGUGUCCUCCCAUAGGCAUGAAAUCUUUUGUCCCUCUGACAGAAAACUAAGAAAGCACUGUAUGUUUUAUGCUUUUUGUUUUGUUUUGUUUUACGCUUUUUUGCUUUGAAGUAUCGAAACUGCAACUCUCAGAACUGUUUCAAAGCACUUUACAAAGGAUAUUUGUGUCGUUUGUACUUUGUUUUUUUCUUCCCAAAUUUUUCCAUCUCCUCUCUGACAAAAGAAAAACUCCUAAAACAUAUUUGGGUUGGUUUGUUUGCUCCCUUGUUUCGGAAGCCCACGCUCACCUCCAGCACCAGUCUCCUCACUUCAGCCUCCCUGGUAGCGGGGACUACAGGGAUUCUUCCACUGUGCCCAUCUGUUUGGGGAGAUGAGCACGAGAAGAGAAUAGUACAGCCUGUUUGUCCGGUGUAUUAGAACAUCUUCCUUCGUCUGUGGCCCCUGCACAUAUUCACACAAGGAACGUUAGGGGGCAACAUAGACACCUGUCUUUUUCCUAACCUUUGAUCUCACACUUGCCAGAAUAAAGCCCUUGCUUUUAACUCCUAUUUGGAAGGAACUUUUCAAGGGGAAGAAUAUUUUUCCUAAAAUAUAAGGUUUUAUCUUUUGAAUGGCUUCAUUUUUAGAAUGCUCUUACAUUAUUGUCUUGCUAGUUUAAGAUAAUUAGCUUAGAAGACUAUGUAUAGUAUAUUUCUAUUUUGCCUACUAAUAACUUGGUAUACCAAACUUAAUGCCAACAAACUUUGUGUUUAGAAUUUUAUGGUAAAAGGCUUAUGGAAAAUACUUGUUGAAAUUUAUAGUAAUUAUUUUUGCGCUUCUGGAUAAAAUUCUUAAUCUUUUUCUGAAGUUCCUUUUUUAGUUUAAACAUGGAGAAACUGUAGCAACUUUGCUUUUCUCCCCUACUCUUGCUCUAGUUGAUGAGUGUUGGCCUGCAGGUCUUUAUGGUGUGUCUCAUAAGACUGACUGCAAUGUCAAUCUAAACAACUUAUGCAAUUGUUUUCCAUGUGAAGAAGAGUUUGGAGUUUAAUGUAUGUUCUUGAUGGCAAAUGUGUCUCAAGAGUGUCUCUGUAUUACAGUAUCAAAGUACUGGUGUUGAGACCAUACGUUGAUAAUUCUGUAGCUGCUAUAUUUAUUUAGAUAGAGUCUGACAUUUACUGCUCUAAAUAAUAAGGAGGUGUGCAAGAUGCCAGGCUAGUGUCAGACCCUUUGGGUUCUUGAGACAAGUUUAGGGACAUAAACUAUGAAGGUAACAGCAGGUACUUAAAACAGUUCUAGUUUCAGUUUAAUAACCAAAUACCUUUGCUUUAAAAAUGUAGCGGGUUUUUCAUUUGUUUUUUACAUUGACAGUUUGCAGGGGGUACUUGAGUUUUCACAGUAAUGUGGAUACUUUUCACUUUAUUAAUAAUUAUCUGUUAACAAGUUUUCCAGAAAAAAAAAAGUCUAGAAAUAUCUCCUCUCCACUUAUGAGGUAUUAACUUACUUUGCUUCCUGAAGAGAAUCCAGAAGGGAUUCCAGUAGGAAUGCUCUGUGUUUUGGAGGCACUUGAUAAAGACUCAUCUCUGCCUUCUAGCAGAGAAACUCCUCGAUUUCUAAAGACCCAUACCAGUUUCCCAAGCCAGGCUCUCUGUGGUCCCCACUGACAUUUUGUCCUGUGGAUCUUCGGGUGGCAGACUUGAAGUGUGUCUUGGGAAAUAAGAAACCAGCUGCUGUUGAGUAGAAAUGGCUCCAAGAUCUCAUUCAGGGGCAGUAUAAGCACUUGGAGGCCAGCAAUAGAUGUGAAACCCAGAGAGACAUCUAUCCGAAGCACACAGUGGGACUUUUCCUAUGCUUAAUAUUUUAUGAAAUUCAAGGACCUGGACACUUGGGCACUAGUAGAAUAGUUUGAUCCCUUUCUGUUUCAAACCUUGACAGUAAUGUUUUGCCAAGUUAUUUAACUGAUGUCUCUGUAUAAUUUCCACUGGGUGUCAUUAAACUGAAUUAUAUGUUCAAUUGAGCCAGACAUAAGGUACACCUGUAAUCCCAGCCCUCGGGAGCAUCAAGAGCUCAAGGCCAGCCUCAGCUACAUGAGACCAUGUCUCAAAACAAGAGCAAAAAACCCAUUUACCUUAUCCCUAUAGGUUCUUUCCUGUUGCAGAGAAAGGCUAUUCUUAAUAGUUCCUGUAAUUUACUUACCUCUUAUGAGUUAAGUGAGUCUGUCAAAAAAAAAAGACAGUUCACUUUUUCAAUGUUCUUGAUUCAGCUGCUCUAUCCACAUGAAGUGUUAGGCCUUCUCAUCCUUUGGGGAAUUUGUAGAUAGUUUUGAAGCUUUCAUAAAAAUAAUUAAAGAGCUUCACAUCAAGUGAGGUCUUCCUGAGUGAUGCUAUACCCCUGAAUUAGAGGGUCUUUGUUUUCCUAUUUCCUUUCCACCUAACACAUAAGCAUUUCUGUGGUUCUGUAAGAACCAAAUACUGGGGGGCUGGAGAGAUGGUUCAGUGAUUAAAAGCCCUGGCUGCUCUUCAAUUCCCUACACUCACAUGGCAGCUCACAACUGCCUGUGAGUCCAUUUCCUGGGGCUCUGACACCCUUACACAGACGUGCAGGCAAAACACCAAUGCACAUGAAAUAAAAAAAUAAAUUAUUUUUUGAAAAGAGUCAAAAACUAGGCCACAAAUAAGUAUGUAAAAGUCAGUACAGAGAGUGGGAGAUGGCUCAGCAGGGAAAGGCACUCACCCACUCACCACCAAGUCUGACAACCUGAGUUCAAUUCGUGUGACCCAAAUCGUAGAAAGAGAACCAACUCCCAUAAAUUGUCCUCUGACCCCCCCAUACCCAAGCCAUGGCACCACUCAUCACACAAAUAAAUGUCAUUCUAAAUUUUUAAAAUUUUAAGUCAGUAUAGAAAUCAUAAAGACAGCUGGGCUUAGCAUAUGCCUGUGAUCCUCACACUCCAGAGGCUAAGGCCAGAGGAUCUUGAGUUCAAGACCAACCUGAGCUACAUAGAGUUUGAGGCCAGCCUAGGCUGCAUAGCAAUACUCUGUCCCCAACUCUGCCAAACCCAAAAGAACAGGGAAAAAAAAGACAAAUCAGAAAGAGAAUUGUCUCUGAAAAAUCUUGGCAAGGAUAGAUAUGAUGCUGUGAUUAAUUAAACACAGCUGAGUCCCAGAGUCCCAGGUGCUCUAUAUAUAGAUAAAAUAUGUCACAAAAGGAAAAAAUAUUUUUACUUUUUUUCUUAGUUCUAAAAAUGUUACAUUUAAGUUCAUAAUUUUCCAUAUAAGUCAGCAAUUUUUCAAUGGACAAGGCUUCUGUUGAUUAUCCAUGGCCAGUUGAAAUUCACCUCACCCAUCAAAUGGAGUGCCCUAGAGCUUUAUAUUCUUAAAUCUUAAGAAUCUUGUGUUCUUAAAGCAUAGAAGUUAAUGACUUUAACUUGAAUAUAAAAGGAUGGUAAACUUCAGUAUGGAAGGUUGGAUUAAAGUUACAGGUAACCAACAGUAUGAUGAAAUUAGGAUCGUCCAGUCAGCCAGUGAGCUCCCUUCCUUUUUGAAGUCAAUGUCUAAGGUCACCAAAAUCUACUGUUGUUCUAUAGUAGUGUCUCAGUGAAGUGGUUUUUCAGGUAGACACUGAACUUGGUUUUUAAAUCAAGGCGGUUCUUAGAAAGUGCCUUUUCUGAAGAUGGUGCUGUAGAUUUUUAUUUUUUAAAUGGCAUAAAAAAUUAAGAUAAUUUAGAAUACCAAAAGUAUGACAGUUUCAUAUAGUUAUUUGUUGUCCUGAAUUUGUUCUAGAGAACCAAGGGGCUUUUAUGUAAUAGUGUCUUAAGUUAAUUUCACCAAAUUGAAAAUACAAUUUUUAAUUCUAUGUUUGAAGUAAUCUAUAAUGUAUAUAAGAUAACAGAUAUGGUAUCAGUGCCCCAAGGCAAAGGUACGGUGCCAGGAACUGUGUAUUAUGAGCUACUUUUCCUUUUUCAGCACAGUUACCUCCUGACCUAAACUUUUCUAAUAACUCGUCACUAAGGAAGAAUACUUAAAGAGGAAGAGCUACGUCACUGACAUCAGUUUAAGAGAGAAAGCAAAAUGGUUACAGCACAGUCUUUAGGAAAAUUUUGUUUCUGAGACACUAGUGACUAUUUUCAAUGAUUCCUGUUUUGCAGGGUGGGAGGACUGGAAAAUGACAGGAAGCGGGGAAGGUUGCUUAUUUCACAACAGAAUGCAGCCUGAGUUACGGAAACAUACCUCUGAAUUCCUUCCUUCAGCCCCAUAUAAGUAAGUACUCAUUGGCUAGAGUGGAGACUGUUUCAAGUGGGUGGGGUUUGUUUUGUUUUGUUUUGUUUCUGCAAGUAUAGAUAGAUCCCCUCUGAGGGUGCUCACUACUUGUAACGCCAGUUUUACUGUAUGUCAGCGUUCCUCUAGGUAGACGGGCAUAUACUUCUUUUAGACUAAUGUUUUUAGGGCUGUCUGUCAUCCAGUUUCCUUUUUCCUUCUGAAAACUUUUGGGUACCUGAGCUUCCGUGGGAGGCUCCACAUACCCAGAUACCUGGCAUCAGUGCUUCAUUAACAAUGAAAUAAUACCUGAUGGCUUGUUUUUGCAGGCCACCUCUUCAGACCAAGUGUCUGUGCAGUGAGGUGUAAGUCAUCCCAUAAAUGAACCUUCAGGAACAGUCAAAAAAAAAAAAAAGUAAAAAAGAUGAGCAAGUUGGUCAGUAGCUGUUUCUGAGUUUAUUCUUCCCAGUCACAGUGCUGUGUGCAAGUCUGUAAUUUUGUUUACAGUUUUAUGAGGCUACAUCUGUGGCUGGGGUUGUAGCUCAUGCAGAAGAGUGCUUGGCUAGCAUGCAUGAAGCCCUGAUUUCAAUCCCCAGUGUGUCACAAACUGGGCUUGUAGGCUUGGUGGUACACUCCUGUAGUCCCAGCACGCAGGAGCAAUAGUUCAAGUUUAUCUUUGAUUGCAUAUUAAGUUGGAGGCCAUCCUAGGAUAGCCAUAGCCUUCUGCAUCAGAGACUAGAGAUGGAAGUUACUCUGGUAUUUCACACCUAAAGCUUUCAUCUUCCUGACUUUUGUUUGGAGAAACAAACAAAACUCCCUGGAAUUAGCCGCUUGAUAAUCUUCAGGUCAAAGGAGUGGCUCAAAUGCAUUGUGUAUGGACUCCCACCUUUAACAAAAGGAUCUGUGAAAACGGGACGUUUCUAAAGACUAAGCAGUGAGGCUGGGAGAGCACGCAGUGGGUGGAAACAGGGAUGUGUUUUUCUUUGCUGGGAUCCUAGAAACUGUAUAAUUAGUAUUUUCCAAGUUCUCAGAACCACAGAUAAUGGAGCAGUUGUUGCUUUUUGACAUAGAUGUCAGGGAAGGGUCCAUCAUGGAGACCUAUUGUCUUAGAGGCCACCACUGCAUUAUAGUGAGGGAUUUGCUUUGCUGUAGCUUUGGUGGCUCUCUCCUUAGAAAACACCAAACUGGGCCUUUCCAGACUUUUCUGUAAGGAUUUAGGGAAAACACUGGUGACUUGGAAUGAAGGAAGAAUCUUGGCAUAGAUGGUUCUUGUUAAGCAUUCAUUUUGAUCAGGGGAGUAACAGGAAGCUUUGGUCUUUGCAGCAAUAGACUUGAUCUCUGAUGGUGGCUAGUUGUAAAUACUGCCCUUUUCAGUCCAGGAAUGAUCUCAUUGUUGAUGGGGACCUUGCAAACCUACAAGUGUCUUCUCACACCCAGAAACUAGGAACAUAGAGGGCUGGCAGUGUACUUGGGUGGAAAAGCACACAAAUCACAAACCUAGCCUGCCCCUGCCUUGCCCCCUCCAAAGACCACCACCAACAACAGCAAGCAUGGACUGGUGGGACCCUCUAGAAUAGAGACUGAAAGUUUCCGGGUGCCUUCUUAGCCCAGGACUCGCCUCCUCCUCUUUAAACAGAGAACAGAAUCACAGGCAGUUUACUUAGAGCUCUACUGUGAGUAAAUAGUAGUCUAGAAUGACUGUGGAGCGGGACCAUUUGCCAGAAGGCCUGCAUGACCAAAAGACUAUUUUAUUUUAGCUGGGCGUGGUGGCACACACACCUUUAAUCCCUGCACACCAGGAGGCGGGGCCAUCUCUGAGUUUGAGAUCAGCCUGGUCUAUAUCACAAGCUCCAGACCAAGAAAAAAAGUUCUUAUUUUGAUACAUGGCUUCUUAAGUAUAUUUUAAUAGGUUGAAUGGAUUAAUACUUCGACAACUCAUUCCUCUUAACUUACAUAUUUAUUUGACUAAAGUUGUUGUGUAGGUAUAUUUAUCACAUUUGACCUCUUGGUACAUAAAAAAUUCUAUAAAAAAUAAUUUUUUUAGGAACUAGAGAGAGAUGCUCAGCUGUUAAGAGCACUUACUGUUCUGUCAGAGAAACACAGAUCCGGUGCCCAGAACCCACAGCUCACCAAUGCCUGAGGAAUCUGAUGGCCCCUCCUGGCCUCAGUGGGCACAUACACAAAUAAAUAAAAUAACAUAUAUCAGGCAUGGAUCAUACAUUGGAAUUUCUGGUCAGCUUGGGCAAUAUAAGGCCCUGUCUCUAAAAAGAAAAAAAAAAAAAAUCAACCCAUCUUUAGUCAGGCCUGAGUUAUAAGGGAGACUAAGGUGUUUCCAAGUGUGACUCUUAAAAGUCACAACUAAAAGAGAACUGUUGAAGUUAUGUGUGCCUUUGAGAGUUGAAAGGGCUGUGGAACAUGAGCCAGAGACUUGAGCACUAGCUCUGCCUCAGGCAUUUCUUCUCCGGCUCAGCGACACGUAGUGAUGGUACCUGCUGCCCUCACCUACCUCACCAAGCUUUCUUGAGAAUCAGUCUGUUUGUGAGUAAGGCUUGACUUCCACAAAGGAAAAGCUACCCAGAAUUCAGAGUGUAGAGAAGGUUCUUUUCCAGUCGGCCUCUGUCAAAGUGUCCUCAUUGUGUGUCAGGUCGCUCCUGCCAACGUCCCACACAUGGGCACAUUUUUUUCUUUGUAAUAACCCCUAGCAAAAACAUAGUUUUCAAAAACCGAAUUCCUUUCGGUGGUGCUAAAGCAGUUGCAGUUGCAUUUUGAGUUAAUGGUGAAGCCGUCCGGCACUCAGAUUUUAACAUGGCCUGUCUCCAGGCACCUGUACUUCCUGCCUGCCUCAGCCGCUGCUCUGCAGACUUGCCCUGUGUGUUCCUUUCCCUUGGAGAAGAGGGUAGGUUCUGAGAAGAAAAGUGUGCUGAUUUCACUUGUCACUUUAUAGAACUGACCUUGGCUUUACUUUCAAAAUUCCAUCCACCAUUUAUCUAUAAUAGUUAUAGAUACAUAACAAGCCAGACACAGUGGGACACCCCUAGUCCCAGUAUGUAGGAGGCUGCCGCAGGCAGAUGACAAGUUUGAGGUAAGCCAAUGUUACUUAGUGAGACCCUUUCCCAGAAGUCAGAGAGAAGCUGCUGCAGUGAUACCAUAUUUGACCCGGUACCCUAUGGAGUGCAAGCAGGACCUUAUAUUUCAACAGGAAACCUAUUGGUUUCCUUCUAAGAUGGGGGCUCCUCUUUAUAGGAAAUUACAAAGGGCAUAUCGAUGCCACAACUAUAAAACAAUUCCUUUUUGCAAAAGUGUGUUGCUUUUGUUUUUGUUUGUAAAGAAAAUGGAUGUAUGUUAAAUAUACAGGGUAUGGAUGAACUUAGUGUUUAUUCUUAUAUCUUCUCUAUUACUGACCUCCCAGUCUUACAAGCAUUUGGGCCUUCCCAACUUCUUGAUAACAAAGCUGGUAUCUGUGGUUAGUUUAAUAGAACAAUUGGAAUUACAAGGUGAAACAUUCAGGGCAAAGAUUUAUACUUAAAAAUAAAAAAGCUGGGUGUGGUGACUCACACCUGUAAUCCCGGCAUUUGGAAGGCAGGGGCAGGAGGAUUGUCCCAAAUUCCAAGCCAGCCGUGGCUAUGGAGCAAGACCUUGUCUCAAAAGUAAAUAAAAAUGCCUUCAGUGUGUUGUGCGAUAGCUAACACUGAUUUAUCAGAACACUGUUAAACAGUUUUUACUGUAAUGUGUAACUUUAAUGUCUCUCUCAGUUAUGGACCCAUAAAAGUAUUACUGUAUCUUGUAAGUAAAUAUCAUUUAUGUGAACUAAUAUGUGGCUGCAUUUGUAGGCUGUGGAAAGUGGUGGUGUAUGUAUAUGUGUGUAUUUAUAAAUAGUUAUAACACUACAUGGAUUGAGUUUAAAUUCACAAGAUAAUGUGUUGUUUCAUGUUGGGAAGAGUAAAAUGGCAGUAUGACCAUUCCGUCGGAACCCUGCCCCUCUCUCUAGAUUCCCAAAACACACAGCAAGCGUUACUAAGGCUCCUGUUUAGACAAUUGCUGCUGCUUUUAAACCAAGAGUAAUGGAGGAAGCAUAACCUUUUUCUUAAAGGGAUCUUUCCAAGGAGUGAAACGUAGCCUUUUAAAUGUUACCUUUUAAUCACCUAGACCAUGUGUGCCUAUUUGUAUUGCAGAUGUGAACUUCUGUUUCAGGGUUCAUAACAGAAUGUUUUGAGACUGAGCUAUUACAUAAAUUCAAAGUAAUCUCCCCAACCCUCUUCUCAUACUCGCUGCUCUUGCCAAAUAUUCCUACUGACACCAGGGCACAACCAAGGAUGGGGCUCUGACCUCCUUCUUCUUCAUCUCUUCCCAAAGUAGCUCUGUCACAUGCCUAAGCUCACCUCAUAUUCUUUGUUGGCUUUUCAUAAGAAAGAACAAUUUACUGUAGUAUUUAGAGACCACAGCAUUUCAUAAUGUGUCUACCUGCCACCUUUUUACAUAUUUGGCUACAUGCUAACAUCAAUUAAGACUGUGUGGGUCUGAUCUGUAAGUUACUAUGGGACCAGAAAAGAUACAAAAUGAUGAACUUGGCUGCCAUAUUCAUGAAAAGGAAUUGUAACUCUGUUAGGAGUGAUGUGUGUGUGAUCACUGUGUCAUUGGACUCACCAAAUGUUGAACUCUAUCACUGUGUACUGAGGGCCAGGCUCUGAUUUGUCAUGUUAACUGCUAAAGAUGAUGUGUGAUUAUGAUAAGCAGAAAGCAAAUAAAGUUUUUAAUCAAAAAUGUUUGUCUUCACUAUUUGGUAUUAAAUUUUCUACUCGGGAUGGGGCUGGAGAGAUGGCUCAGAGGUUAAGAGCACCGACUGCUCUUCCAGAGGUCCUGAGUUCAAUUCCCAGCAAUCAUAUGGUGACUCAUAACCAUCCAUUAUGAGAUCUGGUGCCCUCUUCUGGUGUGCAGAAGCAGAAUGUUGUAUACAUGAUAGAUAAAUAAAUAAAUAAAUAAAUAAAUAAAUAAAUAAAAUUUCUACUUUGGACUAAAUCAUCUAACCCUAAAAAAUUAUUUGCAAAAAUUAUUUCACCUCCUG
Molecule: long non-coding RNA, 10391 nt
Filed under: Cricetulus griseus (Chinese hamster)
Lineage: Eukaryota; Metazoa; Chordata; Mammalia; Rodentia; Cricetidae
Description: lncRNA (ENSCGRG00015041265.1)
Source: RNAcentral